GAAACACUGGAGGCACUCAAGCUAAAAUUCCUCAGGCUUAAACCUGAUUAAACUAGAGGCAUAGAUUGUUCUAUCAAUAGGCCUCAACUGUGGAACAUGACACUCUCUUUUUGGUUUGAUAAAACCCCGAAUGUGCUCAUCUUCCAGAACAAUCAAAAAGUUUACAGUCCAUAUUUUUAAAGGUAUUUAGGCUUUAAAGAAGCAGAUCGGUGCCUAGUGGAAAAACAACUCAGUGAAAUCAAUGGGAGGAAUGAACAUGGAUUAUGAUUUAAAAGACAUCUUUGUUCAACAAGAUGAAGCAAGUUUCAAAACCUAGAUAAAAAAGUUAAUGUCCACCAUGAAAAUGUCAUCUCCAAGCACCAGGAUAUAAUGAGCUUGAAUGGCUUCAUCAGACGCUAUAAAGAUAUUUGCUUUGGAAGACCAUACCCAGGGACCACACAUUAAAAAAGAAUGUCACAAUCAAGUACUUGUGAAAACUGUAAUGCAAUUAAGAGAAAAGAGACUGCACAAUCACUGCUUAAAGCAUUAAGUCUGUGGAAUGUCUGAACACUUGAAUAUGACAAAAUAAGCAGAAGACAAGACCAAGUUUUUUUAAUAAAUGAAGGGUUUAAUCCUAAAAGGCAUUUUUCAGAAUCAGGCCUUCUAUCGUUAGGCAUUAUCAGUCUUCCGUUACAAGUUAAGUGAUGUCAGUAACAUUUUGUUCUGCCAGGUGACGGUGCUAUUGUGUAAUACCAGUACUGUAAAUGAUCUUGUAUAAAAGCUGUUGUUGUAACUUG
Long non-coding RNA from Chrysemys picta bellii (western painted turtle), 776 nucleotides. RefSeq lists it as uncharacterized. NCBI's taxonomy places the organism in Eukaryota, Metazoa, Chordata, Testudines, Emydidae. The record is from RefSeq and is a predicted model, not a curated record.